This 4588-nucleotide long non-coding RNA is filed under the name Nicotiana tabacum (common tobacco). RNAcentral's name for it is "long non-coding RNA (NTAB_LNC000375)". The record is from RNAcentral. Lineage: Eukaryota; Viridiplantae; Streptophyta; Magnoliopsida; Solanales; Solanaceae.
GAAUGAGGAUUGGGGAUAUGAAGAGCUGCUUGAUGCUGAUAACCUUUACGAGGAUCACUUGUAAGCUAAGUUGCUUGGACUCUUCACUUUUGGUGCUGCACCCAUUUCGACACGGUGUGGGUGUGGGUGUGAGAUCCGUAUUCGGAUCUGAUAAGCCGAUUUUGGAUAAUUUGACCAAAAUCGACGGAGAAAUUCAGGAAAGAUACCAUGAUUUUUUAAAUCAAAACAAAAGCUAGGGUGAAAUUGAAGAAAUUGGAAUACCUUGUAAAUCUCCUCCUCGGAUUCUCCUCUUGAUCAAUGUUUUCUGCUUCUCGGAAUACCUUGUAAGUUUUUCACAUAAUAUCUCAUAAUUUAGACAUACUUUUAUAACUCUAUUUUUAGAUAUUUGAAUUAUUUUUAGCCGAAUCCCGUUACCCAUAUCCGUAUCCCCGAAUCUUAAAAUUUAGACCGUGAAAGAUUAUGGAGGAUAUUCAUCAAUUUGAGGAGAAUAUUGUGGGUUAUGCCAAGAAGAAUACCUGAAGUUUUAACAUGUUGGAACAGAGAAGGCAACCUAUCCAGUCAUAACGAUAGAUAGAAGUUUGUCCCAGCUUGCAUCUUGUGGACAAUCCAAGAAAAAAGAAAUCAAAGAUGCUUUGAAGAUAGAUACAGUAACAUUCAAAAGAUGAAAAUGAAAUGUUUAGUUCUUUCUUAUUUUUGGUGUAAAGGAGAAUAUUUAGAAGAUCAUGAAUCUAUUUUUGAUGUUUUAGAAUCCUUAUGAGAAGACAAAGGAUUAGGAGUGUCUUUUCUUUUUAGGCCUCCUUGUAAUUAUAGGUGACUUCACAGCUUUUGUAUAGUCUUUUAUUUAUAUAUAAUAUGUUACCUUUUCAAAAAAGAAAAAUAAUGGUCCGAUCUCUAGAUACCCACUCGUAUCGGACAACCAUACCCGAGUCCGAGCAACUUAGCUUAUAAAACAAGGGGUAGAAUUUUGUAUAGCUAGAUAGACUGUUUCAAGGACCAUUAGCUUCAGAAGAUAGAUCAAUGUAUAGCAGCUUUAAGUGUACCUAGACGUGAAGUAGAACUUUAAAAGAACACAAUUUAAGAUCUUCUUAGCACUUUAUAUUAAAUAGUAAAGAAUGUAUUAUGCAAAUGCGGGCAUACCAGGAUAGAUAAGAUAAGAAAUGAAGAUAUUCAGGACAAGGUGAGAGCGGCCCACAUGGAGGACAAAAUGUGGGAAGCGAGACUAAGAUGGUUUGGGCGUGUGUAGAAGAGAAGCACAGAUACCCCAGUAAGGAGGUGUGAGAGGUUAGCUUUGGUGGGUCAAAGGAGAGGUAGAAGUAGGCCAAAGAUAUAUUGGGGAGAGGUGAUUAGGCAGGACAUGACGUUGCUUUAGCUUGCAGAGGACAUGACCCUCGAUAGGAGGGUGAGGAGGUCUAGAAUUAGGGUAGAAGCUUACUACGUAGUCGAGCAUUUUUCUUUUCCAUACCAGUAGUAUUAGUGUUAGUCUUGUAUUUUCUUAUUCUUAAAUUUCUAUUACUACAUGUUUCUUUCGCUUCGGUUUUCUUACUAUCUUGUUGUUGUUACUGCUUCCUUUUUCAUCUUUCCGUGAGCCGGGGGUCUAUCGGAAACUGCCUGUCUACCUUCUCAAGGUAGGGGUAAGGUCUGCGCACACACUACCUCCCCAGAUCCCACAUGUGGAUUACACUUGGUUUGGUGUUGUUGCUGUUGUUGUUGUAUGCAGAUGUGAUUAAUACCAAUAUAUUUUCCUGUUCGGUUCCAACCCCCACUUUGAAUCUUGUGUUGGUGACUGGUACCCGAUUGACCAAGAGAUGAUAUAUCAUGCUUAAAGGAUAACAAAUUAGCUUUUUUUUUUUUUUUUUUGAAUUAUGUUUCAGCUAGUUGUUGAAUUUUUUUGUUUAGUGUGGCAGUAAGUCCUGCUAGAUGCCUUUUAUGAGCUCUUAAAGUGAAUUUUCCCUCUAAAUCCUGUGAAGCUGUUGUCCAUGGGAGCUCCCUUUUCUGUUUCCAUACUAUUACUGCUGUGGAAUUUAUACUUUAUGAUUUAAAUGAUCUAUAAACGAUCUUGCAUUUUCUUUCUGGAAAACUGGAAAAGGUUCAAAUUUGCUGCUAAAUAUCGACUUACAGUUAACUUUGCUCUCCAUUAGAAGUUGGCAACAAAAAUACCCUCGCUGUUACCCUAUCGUUUUGUAUUUGCCCCUUUUCUCCCGCAUAGCAAAGCCCUCAUUGAUUCACCAUUGUCCAUGUCAGGCGUCAGCUGAUUCAUGGAUAAUACACGUAAUUUAAGAGCCAGUUCAGUGGAUACAUGGAAAAAUAGGAAAUGAAAAGUAACUUGUAGCACUUUUUGAGAGUGAAUAAUGGAUUUUCUCCCAUCUCUGCUUUUGCUUACAAUCCUCCAUUGAAGAAUCUCCCAUAAAUAAAGCUUUCUUUUGGGAAAUACUCUAGUACAGCUCAAAGAACCCCAAGAAUAUCAAACUAAAUCAUUUUGCUCCUAUCCCUCUUUACCACCUUUAAUUGGUACUCUGCAGAUUUAGUAACCCAUCCAUCUGAAAUGACCCACAUACCAUGCUGAGGAGCAGACGAUAAAGAUUAGAGAGCCCGAGACAAGUGAUACCUUCACUGGAGAAUGGGUUCAAAAUGUCGAUGCUCCAUAUGCCAACACGACCUGUUUGCGGUCCACGAGCACCAAAAUUGUGCGAAGCACACAAGACCUGAUUGACUACUUGAAGUGGAGGUGGAAGCUUAAUGGUUGUAAGCUGCCCAUUUUCAACUUUUUCAGUUUUUGGAUAUGGUCAGGAACAAGUAAUUGGCACUUCUCGAUGAAUCAGUUAGAAGAAACCAGAUGCAGUCCUUGAUAUGUCUCUUCAGUUCUUGUUAAUUUUGCUUAUAGUUUUUCGUUUUCUUUUGGAUGCACACAACCUGCUGAUAUAUGUUAAUUACUGCUUCUGCAAUGUUAUAGUGUACCUAAGUUUCAUACUUAUUAAAAAAUAAUUUACCUUAGUUUCGUGAAGCUCUAGUUUGGAUUAGCUAGUUGGAUGCACUUAGCUUGUUUCUGAAUGCAUAAUUAAGGGUUAAUAGAAGAUUUUGUCUACCUCAGGCUACGCUUAUUCAAGUUUAAGGUGAAAUUUCAUGUAAGACAGCAUUGAUGGGUCAACAUGUAUUUUUCCAUGUCCUCGCACGUGGCAAUAAUACAGCUCCAGCAUAGAUCAAACUGGACAGCUAAAGCUAUGUUACAGAAUAGGGGUGUAUUGGGUAACGGCAAGGGGUUUUUGUUGCCAACUUCUAAUAGAUGAUAUAAUUUAAAAAAAGUCAAUAGUUGAGGGGAAAACUUGGACUUUUCCUUUUCUUUAGUGUAUUUGAUACUUAAGAGUACUAACACAAACUAGUAAGGUGCAUCUUGGACAACAUCUAGGUGUUCCAAAGAGUUGAAUUUACUAUUAAACAUCUUGGGAUCAAAUAUUUGGUACAUGUACAUAUUGACCUUUCACCCUGAUUUGGAGAAUCAUGAGAAUUGAGAUGGCACUUAAAAGAACCACCACACAUACAGACAUGUUAUUUCUUGUUCCCUUCCAUAUUGAAUUCCUGCAUUAUCAACAGUUUGAGUUGGGGAAUGAGAUUCUAACCUCACAGUUGCCUCGCCGCCAGCCCGCCAAUGGGCAUCUCUUUUUUCCCCCUUACUUUUUUAUAACCGAGAAAUCUCUGAGUGCCAGUGUUGCACUACUGUAGCCUCAAAGUUGCCUAGCAGCCGAUGGGCAUCUCUCUGGCUCUUCAUUAACUACAUCACAGAGUUUUUGAACGGCGAACUCACACGUGCAUCAGGUCUUGGCAUGUGAUAAGCAGGUUGAUUAGAGAGCCAGAGCAUAGAAGAAGUCAUGCCCAAGACCUAGGCUUGCAAAACCCAAUGCGACAAGAAUGCUGCUAAAUAAGAUUUGUACUUUUGGUUUCAAAAGGUUAACGAACCCUGUUGCAGAUGCAAUUUAAGAAAAUCAUAAGACAAAAAGAAAAACAAAGAAGAAAAUCAUAAGACUGAACAUAAACUUAGUUUACGCUGAAGAUAAAAACACAAGAAGGCAAUGGUCUCCUCCUCUUGUUUAUUGCAAAAAGACUCAUACUAACUGGAUGAACAAGUAAAGAUGGGAUCUCAAAGUCUUACCUCUGGUUCUGGUGUUGUUAAGUAAUUUGGGAUCAAGGUAAUAAUCUAUUUGAUUUGCUUUGCAAAUGGACAAAGCACUAGGAGAUCUGAGCCCAUAGUGGCAGGGCUUUAUUCCUCCUGUAAAGCAUCCUGAGACAUGCAUCUUCUCGAAGUUACUUUCUUCUUCCAUUUUAAGAAUUUGUUCAUAGUUUGGUUUCUUCUUUGAACUAGAGGGACUCUCUAUCAGGCCUAUGCUAAGGCUGUUGACUGUAGAUGCUGACAUAUUAUAUCUUUCUUGAUAUGCAAUGUCUGGCAUAGUCAGUUUAAGAUCAUUAAAAUUGUCAGGUGCACUAAAAUUGCUGCAUUCACUGACCUCAGUUGUUGAAUCAAAUACUUGACCUUGUGUUCCAUUCAUGGUUAUUUCAUCAAUAUUGCAGGCUGGAGGUGCAGGAUAUGACUUCUCAU